GGCAUGCCUUACACAUGCAAGUCGAACGGCAGCACGGGGGCAACCCUGGUGGCGAGUGGCGAACGGGUGAGUAAUACAUCGGAACGUGUCCUGUAGUGGGGGAUAGCCCGGCGAAAGCCGGAUUAAUACCGCAUACGCUCUACGGAGGAAAGGGGGGGAUCUUAGGACCUCCCGCUACAGGGGCGGCCGAUGGCAGAUUAGCUAGUUGGUGGGGUAAAGGCCUACCAAGGCGACGAUCUGUAGCUGGUCUGAGAGGACGACCAGCCACACUGGGACUGAGACACGGCCCAGACUCCUACGGGAGGCAGCAGUGGGGAAUUUUGGACAAUGGGGGCAACCCUGAUCCAGCAAUGCCGCGUGUGUGAAGAAGGCCUUCGGGUUGUAAAGCACUUUUGUCCGGAAAGAAAACGCCGUGGUUAAUACCCGUGGCGGAUGACGGUACCGGAAGAAUAAGCACCGGCUAACUACGUGCCAGCAGCCGCGGUAAUACGUAGGGUGCAAGCGUUAAUCGGAAUUACUGGGCGUAAAGCGUGCGCAGGCGGUCCGCUAAGACAGAUGUG
RNAcentral lists this ribosomal RNA (560 nucleotides) under uncultured Burkholderia sp. RNAcentral describes it as "bacterial SSU rRNA". It matches the Rfam family "Bacterial small subunit ribosomal RNA", at positions 41 to 596 of the family's 1533-position model. Lineage: Bacteria; Pseudomonadati; Pseudomonadota; Betaproteobacteria; Burkholderiales; Burkholderiaceae. The record is from RNAcentral.